AAUAAGUACAGUUUUGUACUAUUCAUGUCUAACGUUUGACCGUUUGUUUUAUUUAAAAUUUAUUCGUGAUUAGUAUUUUUAUUGUUAUUAGAUGAUAAAACAUGAAUAAUAUUUUAUGGGUGACUAUUUUUUUUAGUUUUUUCAUAAAUUUUAAAUAAGACGAAUGGUCAAACGUUGGACACAGAUCCCACAACUGCAUUUAUU
Non-coding RNA from Oryza glumipatula, 204 nucleotides. NCBI's taxonomy places the organism in Eukaryota, Viridiplantae, Streptophyta, Magnoliopsida, Poales, Poaceae. The record is from Rfam.